RNAcentral lists this ribosomal RNA (444 nucleotides) under uncultured soil bacterium. Its description in RNAcentral is "bacterial SSU rRNA". It matches the Rfam family "Bacterial small subunit ribosomal RNA", at positions 26 to 517 of the family's 1533-position model. The record is from RNAcentral.
AGAGCGAACGCUGGCGGCAGGCCUAACACAUGCAAGUCGAACGGAUCCUUCGGGAUUAGUGGCGGACGGGUGAGUAACACGUGGGAACGUGCCUUUUGGUUCGGAACAACUCAGGGAAACUUGAGCUAAUACCGGAUGUGCCCUUCGGGGGAAAGAUUUAUCGCCAUUAGAGCGGCCCGCGUCUGAUUAGCUUGUUGGUGAGGUAAAGGCUCACCAAGGCGACGAUCAGUAGCUGGUCUGAGAGGAUGAUCAGCCACAUUGGGACUGAGACACGGCCCAAACUCCUACGGGAGGCAGCAGUGGGGAAUCUUGCGCAAUGGGCGAAAGCCUGACGCAGCCAUGCCGCGUGAAUGAUGAAGGUCUUAGGAUUGUAAAAUUCUUUCGACCGGGGAGAUAAUGACGGUACCCGGAGAAGAAGCCCCGAUAACCUCGUGCCAGCAGCCG